Molecule: long non-coding RNA, 30922 nt
Filed under: Ananas comosus (pineapple)
Lineage: Eukaryota; Viridiplantae; Streptophyta; Magnoliopsida; Poales; Bromeliaceae
Description: long non-coding RNA (ACOM_LNC000438)
Source: RNAcentral
AGUCAUCAGUAUUAAAUCUCCUACUUCUUAUAUACACAGUUUUUAUAAUUUCGUACGCAAUCACUUUCCCAUCCCAAAUAAAAGGGCAAUUGUUUAUAUAUUUUUUUCUAAAAAAAUUGGACUUUUUUAUUUACCCUUCCUAAAAAGUUAAUAUUAAAAAUAUUUUUUCAAUGUUUCAAAAUAUUUAAAUAUAUUUUUUGAGUUAAAUUUUAUCAGUGAACUAUUAGCAACAUCCAUUAUCUCUGUAAUAUUAUUAUUUUAUCAUUUUAAAUAUAUAUUUCUCUCGUCAUCCAUUUUUCUUAUUUGCCAUUAAGUUAGGAACAAAAAAAAAAAAAUUUAAUUUUUUAUCUUUUCAAAUAUCUUUAUUUUAUUAUUACCAACUUUUUUUAUUAAUUAUAAUAAAGUCUAUCAAGCAGUCAUAAAAUGAACAGUCAAAAUCGAACGACGUUUUAAAAAUAGAUGAUCGGAUCCUUUAAUUUAAAAUCGGAGUUAUUAAUCUUUAUAUAAGUAGUGAAUAGAAUUUUCUAUAAAAAAUUCAAUUUAUUCUAAUUUUUUUGCACCAUUUAACUAAAAAGUAUUUCAUACCGGUCGUUAAAAAUUAUCAAUUUUGUGACUUUUUUAUCGUAAGAUAAAUAAUAUCGAAAAAUUAUAAAAUUUGAUUUCAAAAAGCAUUAAAUACUCUAAAUAAUGUUUAACGGUAUGAAUCGUCGAUACAGAAAUUUUAUGAUAAAAACGACUUAUAAAUACGAGAGUCAUACUCUAUAUCGAUAUAUUCAUUGUUCGCUUCUUGUUGAUUUGUUUGUUUGCUGUUUGUGUUGGCGGGUGUGUACGUACAUAUAUCAUAUACAUAUACAUAUUAUAUUUAUAUAUGUAUAUAAUAAUAAGAACUAGGCCGGAGUACUAUUAAUAGCACCAAUGACUUUGUGCUAUUAAGUUUUCUACUCUUGAAUUAAAAGAUGUGCGGUGAGGAUGAUGUGGGCCUCCUAGGGUUGAGUAGGUGGUUAGUUGAAUAGUAUAAUCAAACGGAUGAAAAUGAUAAAAAAAGUAAAUCUAACGACAGAAAACUUGAUAACACAAAAUGCUUCAUACUAUCGAUAGUAUCUCAGCCGGACUCAUAAUAAUAAUAAUAAUAAUAAUAUGUAUAUGUAUGCAGUGGCAUGAGUGGGUGGUGACGUGGAGGGAGGAAGGGAUGAAUGGCGGGGCCCACGCGGGGCUGCUGCUGGCGCGGACGGUGGAGAUCUGCGCGGGCCGGUCGAGCGCCUCUUCUUCUACGCCCUCCCCCACUCCACCUCCCACUUCGUCGCCCCCCGCCUCACCCGACUCGCCUCCUCCCUCUCCCACCUCCUCUCCCUUAGGAGGACAAUGACAACGGCGACGACAACGACAAUGACGACCCUCUCCCCACAGGUAACAUUACAUUAAGGAUAAAUUUUAGAUAUCAUCUCCGUAGUUUCGUACUUUCUCACUCUAGUAUUCUAUUAUGUGGUUUUUUUCUCUCCCUUCGUCAGCUUCUCCGUCAACAUUUCGUUAAACAGUUAUAUACAAAAAACUUCAGAUACUCCACCUAGGUUUAUCGAGUAUUUAUUUUAGUAUCUUUUAGUUUUAACUUUGUCAUUAAUUUAAAGAAAAAAAAUUAGUGGAUGGAAUAAUAAGAAGAGAAAAAUAAAAUCACGGGGUAUUAAAUUGAUACACUUUAAACCACAUAAUAUUAAAAUAAAAAAAGUACGAAACCACAUGAAUGAUAUCUGAAGUUUUUUUUUAUAUUAAGAUGUCUUUCCUUUCCUUUCGUCUAAUUACUUUUCACAAACAACUAUUCCAAAAGUUUUGAAUUCUGGAUUUGACCCAUUUCAAGAUAAACUAUUCACAACCCUCUCUCAAACAAAUACCUUUUCCUCCUCUCCCUGAACCAAAACCAUUUAUCAAAGUCCUAUGCUUCCUAAUUAUUAUUCAUUAUGAUCUUAUUCCAACAAUUUAACCAAAGAUUUUUGAAUGAUUCGUCACCUUCAUUUCGCAUUCCAAUGCAAUCUAAUUUUACUUUUAAUUUUCGGUUAGAGCAAACUUGCAAUAACAUCAAAUCAUUGAGAUUUCUAAUGGUAAUAAGGUUUGUGUAGGAUUGUCAUUGUAUUUUUUUUGUUCGCGAAUCAGCUUAUAUUUCGAUCAUAGUGGGUGCAGUAAGGAUUUGCUUAGCUGGCUCACGUAACAAACUAGUUGAGCCUAAACUUAGUCAAGUGCGCGUGUUCAGCUCUAUUAAGCUUGGAUUAUAAAAGUUAACCAAAAAAAAAAAAAACCCUAAAAAAUUUGCUAUUAAAAAUUUUCAAUUUAUUAUUUGUAGUGGAAAAUAAUUGUAAGUGCUAUAGUAGUGUAAAAUGAUAAAUAAAGAUUACUAGUUUGGAAGUAUCUUUCUUAGCUAAACUCUUAGAUCCUUUUUUUGUGCGCAGCUCGUAUUCCACUUGUAGAUAGCCUUUCUAUUAUAACUAAGUUAAAAGUUGGGUUUGCUUUAGCUCGUUCGUGUUCGUCUCGUUUACUCCCCUAGCCUCCGUUUGGUUAGGGGUUAAGGGGUGAAAUAACCCCUUAACCCCCAUUUUAUCCCCAAACACUUCUAAAAAUGAGUGGGGUUAGCUAACCUCACCUCAAAUGGGUUAUCCCGGGUUAGCUAACCCUACCUAAUCCCACCAAAUUCCAACCAAACACUAUUGUUUAUUCAUAAUAACCCACUAUCCUUUUUAUCCCACAUACUCUAAUCAAAUAUUAUUUUUCACUAUUCUGGACUAACUCCAAUCCCCAACCAAACACAAAAAUACUCUAACUCCACCUUAACCCUAAACUUAACCCUAUCCCUAGAAUAACUAGUUUUUCCUUAACCCCGAACCAAACGGUAGCCUAGAGAUGAGAAAGGUUCUAUCAGGAGUCACAGAUUCAAUAGAAAACUCAAAAAAGAGUCUAGAUUUAAGAAGCCAAAUUAUCAAUUUUUAACAAACAAGAACGACCAACAAAAAUAUAUAUAUAAAUAAAAAUAAAAUUCUCUCUAUGUCAUCAUCGGCCACAAGCCAAUCAAAUUUUGCCGAAUAAGAACAAAAUUCAUUAAUAACAAUUUUUUUUUUUUUUUUUUUUUUUACCAUCUUCGUCGAACUUAGGAUGGGACGCUUUAAUCUAUCAUUCAUCAUACACCGUGUUUGAAUUUUACCGACUUAGGAUUGGACAGUCUAAUCAACCGUCCAUCAUGCUCAUCUCUUGAAUUCUAAAGCACGAUGGACGGUGGAUUCGACUGUCCCACCGUGAGGGAGUCCCAAUAUAAUUUUCCUUUUGAGGAUCACAUGUAGAUACUAGUGAGUGUACCAGUGAAUGUAGAUAAUAAUGGCAAAAUUGUACCACAAUCUAAUUGAAAAGUAUUACUUGGUGCACAAAACGGGAAGAUCCAGUGUUUUAAAAAUUGGGUCGAAUAGCGAUGCAAAAAGUUUACUGGGUCAAAUAUUUGAACCACUGAGGUCAUCAUGAUAUCAUAUGCAUAUUUAAUUAUUGCUUAAAAUUUUAUUAUAUUACAGUUAUAUAUUAUUGUUCUAGUAUCAUAUUUAAUUAUAAAUAUAAAUUUUUAAACCAAAUUUAAGUAAAUAUAAGUUUUCAAGUUUCACUCUUUAUAAGACUUAUUUGUACUAAUAAAGAGUAAAAUCAGCUAAAUUAAUUUUAAAUUGUUGGAUUUUAAGAUGACCAAUAAAAAAUUCUGGCCGAUUUAAUUAAAAUAAAACCAGUUCACUGUUUUGAUGGUUGAAAAUUAUACGGUUCAAAGGAUUGAAUCGAAUCGUGGUCAGAUCGGUUCGACCCGAUUGGGAAGUUCUUUAGUUGGUUCAACACCGAAUACUAAUUUGAGAUUUUGGGAUACUACUUAAGGUUCUGCUGAAACACUGUAUCAAAAAUUUCCAAUAGAUAAUUUCUGCAGCACAAAAGAAGAAGCAAUAAAAUUGAAGCUACUGGCUUUUCAGUCAGAUCCCAUUUUUUAGCUCUCUCUAUAACUUUUUAAGCCCAAUGCUGAUCGAAAACUGAAGCCGAAAGCAGAAGCAAAAUCAGGGACUAAGCGGUUUGAUUGGCCGACCUGAAGGUUUAGCGAACCAGAAAGUCAAAUAAUUGUUUCAUUAACAUUCUAUUUUUGCCAUCUGAUCUUAUUAUACUAAUUGGCUGUCAGAAGACUCAGAACCAUGUUUAACAGUGCAUGAGCAAAGUUCAGUUUGUUUCAUUUCAUGGCUUAGAGAAAUACUCUGUUAGUAAUUUAGUAAUCUCCAUUUUCUUCUAACUGCUGAGUUAAUCUCAUUCAUUCCAUCUGACCAGGGCGCGGCAGAGAAGGACACAAUCGUAAACAAAAUCGACGAGGAAGUUGAUUCAGGGAUGCAAGAGCUAGUUCAGUGUGUUCUCCAAAGUUCCAAUAACCUCAACAACAAGACCAAGCAAACAUUCCUGAGUGUAGUGAAAAGCUUCUAUUAUCUUGCCCAUUGCCCUUACGCCACUCUCAAUACCCAUAUCUCCAAAGUGAUCUUCGACAGAGUGGUUUAAACCAGAUUCGAUUCGAUACAAGCAUCAUAUUUUCAGCGUAUGUAUUGCAUAUAUAUAUAUAUAUAUGUAUGUAAGGGUCACCAUGAGUUCAGAAGCAACUAUUUUUAGCAAAUUCUCAAAUACCAAAUAAAAGUAAACAAGAAAUAGUGGAGGUUAAAAUCAGUCGUACUCGAGUUCGUCGGGCGUGAUGGCUCUUUUGAGUGGGAUAAUGGAUUUCUUUUCGACAUCUCGCGACAAUGCCUUCCUCAUAUCUGGAAUAAAUGCGAAAGCAGUAACAUCACAAGCAGAAUAAAAUCCAUACUGAAAAGGACGCAAUCGCAACAUCUAUCAAAGUGGCGCCAGUUUGAUCACUUACCUAGCCCAUCUUCUUCUCCAGAGUAAUAUCGCAGCACCCUUCGAUAAACCACAUAGCCAAGCUGUAGUGGGGACAGAGGGAAAAUUAAUAAUAAUAAUAAUAAUAAUAAUAAUAAUAAUAAUUUAAACUCCCAUAAACAAAUCUGUAACAGCAAAUAACUUUACUGUUAAAUAAAAGUUUCAAAACUCAUAUUCUCAACUAACAUGGAUUAGAGAAAUGGGAAAUACGGAAAACAAGGAGCAACAAAUUCUGGGUGUUUUAUUCGCCCCAUAGUUUAAACCAGUUCUGAAAAAUGGAAGAAGCUUUUUCGCAAUUAUGCGUAAAAAAAGCGACUAAAGAAAUGAUUAACCUGUAUGUAUUUACAAAGAUUUGAAGGGUUUGUGGACCCUAUACACUUUUACUGCCCAUACUUGUUGUGGCAUAAUGGGGGGGGCUUGUGCAUUCUUCACUUUUACUAGGAUAGAUUUUUAAGUACAUAUAUUAUAUUAAUUGUCCCUGCCAUAAUGUUACCAAAGAAUUAACAUAACGACCGUCCAAAACCAGCAUGCCUUUUCCCGAAUAAUCAGGACCGUUCAACUCACCAUUCUCAAGUAACCGGAUGGUCAGAUGCCCUCUUUAACCUAUCAACUAAUCACAACCAUCCGCAGAAGACGACAAAAAAUAGUCUACAAUCAGUAGAUUGUCCAGUCUUUUUUAACAGAAAUCCCAAAGCAUACUCAUAAUGCCUCGGUCCGAUUCAGCUGAUAUUACCAACUAGGGAGAAUCACAUCAUUAAAAGUAGUAGAAAAGAGGAGAAAGAUGAAAAGAGGAUGAGGUUAACCUAUAAAGGAUGGAAAAAAGCAUUACCUUUUCAUACAUUUUGAUGGCCGGCAUGUUCGAUGCCCUCACAAAGAGAUCCACAAAGUAAGCCUUAUCCCUGCAGAGGAGAGAGAAAAGCUUUCCUUAGUGCAUGAGGGGUGCAAUCAUCACAGUUAGAACACAACUAUCAGGACCCAACAUGGCCCCAUCAUAGCUCAGAGCAUGGCCUGCUUGACUAAAUAACGAAAUUAGAUUAUAAGUAUAUUAAUAAAAUAUGGCAACAACAAAAAAGGGCAGAUUGCCUUCUGCUAUGGGCAUGUAUGCAUGUGAAAGAGCUGCUUCAAAUAAACAGAGUAUACCCUGUGGUCACCAUACAUUAUGCAUGCAUACACAGUAUGUAUGUACGUAUGUACAUAUAUAUGUACUUGUGGAGAGAGAGAGAAAGAGAGAGAGAGAGAGAGAGAGAGCUAUACUCCAGAAGAUUUGGGCUCAAAUUCUAUUCAAAAUUGAUUUUAGAAUUUCUUUUUUUUUUUUUGAAUGUAAGACACAAGGUGAUUCCUUGUGUAAUUCCUUUAAAAGGAUCAAAAAAAAAAAACAUAAUUUUAACUCACAUCCGCACACAACCACUACCUAAAAGGUCAAUGGUGAACUCAAAUUAAUCGAAAAAAUAGAACAAGGGAGAGAAAAAAAAGUAUAAACUAGCCAAACUACAUGAAAGAAAGAACAAGAAAGAAAAAAACACAUACAGAGCACUCAAUGCAAGAAAAGAAAGCCAUGCUCCGCCACCCACUAGAAGGAAGGAAACAAUAAAACAAAUGGCCCUCUACAUACAACGCAAUCAACAUCUAAAAUAAACAAUGUCACUUUCACGAGAAGAGCCACAGGAAGAAAAAUUCCUCACUCCUCGAUUUGUCAAACAUCUUCGACCAUCACGGGGCACCACUCGAUCUGUCCAAGAUCUUCGACAGUUAGGGGACACUCCAGACUCUAACUCGAGGCCAUAAGGCUCAUAAAUCUUAUGGGCAUUACCAUUGAGGGCAGAAAAUAAUAGAACUAGAUGGACUAAAUACGUACUUCGCAUGCUUAGUCUCCUUCAUUCAAUCUAAGAUACUACGAUAUAAGUUAGCGAAUUUUAAAGAGAUACGAGCACUACUCUUAAGGGGACUAGACGGAAGCAAGUACACGGAGCAGAGGGCAAAGAAUCAAAAUGGAGAGAGGGGAAGAGCAGCCAGGAAAAGUAGGAAAAGGUUCCAAAGGUUCCGAUGCAAGUAACACAGAAGCCUGAUUGGGAGGUAGAAGAGAAAGUGAUGAAUUAGUUGAGGGGUAAAGAGGAGGUGAAGAAGCAUAAAACCGUCCAAAAGAAGAGAAGAGAAAUGCACCUCGACAGUGGAAAUGAUGUAAAGAAUUUGAAAACUUACGAGCAGUUUUCCACAAAAAAAAAAAAUUAUCAAUGCAUCAAGUGGAGACAAAAAUGAGCUAUGUAAAUUGAAAAAUCUUUCUAAACAUAGAAUAGGAUUCAUCUGUUAAAAAUCCUAGCCAUUAAACUAAUAAACAUCUUUGUUACAAUAUAUUUUAUCUAUAUUAGGAUGUUACGAUAUAUUUGGAUAUUGUGUAUUAUUGCCUUAUAUAGAGUAGUAUCAUUGCCUUCUAUAGAGUAGGAUUAUAUAGUAUGUAAUCCUAGUUAUACUCUUACUAUAGUAGUCAUUGUUACUAUAGUAAGACAAUCUCUUGUACUAUAUAUAUUCAUUAAUACAACUCAAGAGGGUAUGCACUUUAGCCCUUCUUUCAAUCUUAUUUAAAUUGAACUGAAUAAUAUUUUCUAAUAGCUUUUUCAACUAUUCAAAUCAUGUUUAAACAUCAAACUAGAAAACUAUAAAUGGUCAAAAUUCUCGCACUUGAUGCAUAGGCAAAAAGUGUAAAUGAAAGAUGAAUUUUAAUUCUUGUUACUUCAAAUACUCGAGAUCAUCGUCAACAAUAUGGAUCAUCAAUUCACUUGCUCUAAAGAUCAAUUUUGAGAGUGGAAGAAUUUAAGCCCAAAUCGUCUCAAGUGUAGUCCACCUGGCAACAUUAGUAAGUAAAAUAGAAGUGCAUUCAAUCAUUCAGUAACUUGUCAGUCAUCGGACUAUUUUCAGCUGAAUUGUGUUUAUGAUCUAUUGUAGUUUAUAAGAGACAAAGUGUUGAAUAUCCACGUGAACACCACAUGACACCAUUGAACUAUCACUUUCAGAUUAUAAAACAAAAUUAACUACAUAGGUGUGACGCAUGAGUUUUCGUUGCUCCAGGUGAUAGAACCAAUGAAUUAUAGCUUGGAGCCACUGGAGACAACAUAACAAACUUUACCAAAUUCACAAAAAAAAGAGGAGAAACUGUUACGAACUGUCCAUUUCCGCCUAGUCAAGUUGGGCUGGGUCAAGAUCAAUUUGAGUUCUAGUAUGACUUUAGUCUCAGUGGAGUCUUAUUUGACUUAGUUUGAGUUCUAGUUGAUUUAUUAGUCCCAGUUGAGUUCCUCUUUAUUUUCCAUAAUUAGGAGUAAAGUCCUACUUUUAUUGCUUCAUGAUAUGAGGCCUAUAAAUGAGAAACUGGUCUUUCAUCGUAAUGUAUGAUUGAAGAGAUUAAUAGAGUAGAAUAGUUUAGUAACGAAGGCACUGUAAUCCCUCGAAGAAUCACAAUGUGUGCUAGGAAGAGACCAAACCCUAAAAAUUUGGUAUCGAAGCCAUUGCUAGGAGUGCGAGAUCCUAAUACAAAAAAUCUUACCUGCUUGUAUGAAGAAGGCCAAACUAUUGUAGAACCACGACAACACAAAGAAGAGGUCAAUUAGAAAUGAGCAUGCAACCACUGAUUUGGAUUCAAAUAUGGUUAUUUUACUUCUGUUAAAUAAUUUCCCCAAAGAAGUACAUCACAUAAUUCUCCAUAUUCAUUGUGAAGUUAACUUUUCCACAUAAUAACACUUCCUUCCAUAUGAGAAACGUGGUUCACAUUGAGAUGACGCAUUUUCACUACAUAUAUUCAUGCACAUUACCUAUUAAUUGACCACAAAAAAUAACUGAAUCAAAAGGAACCUCAACUUGGGUUUCAGGACUACAUUAACUUCCGACAACUUUGCUACAACCAAAAGGUUAUCCAUGUCAUUUGGCACAACUUCUAUCAAUAUUCUCUUCUCUCAUAUCCUUCCAGACAAAUUCAGACACCUCUUGUCACCAUUCAUUCCAGAUAUUUGCUCUGGUAUCCAGGUUGUAGACUUAUGAUACUCUAUAGAUUUCGUCCUUCACUCACUUCUUGCAUGCACAAUGUUAGUUUGAGGCCAACAAGAAGUGGCCCUAUUGAGUUGUCAAUAACUUUUUUAGCCACAAUAAUAUUUAUCAACAAUUCAGGCUCACAGCAUUACAAUACAAUAAUGGGUGUAAAUCUUUAUUUUGAUCUAGAGACUGAUGGAUUUGAUAUAAUUUAGUCAUUGCUCAACUAUGGGAGUCCCGAGUCAUCAAAUGGAAGUAUUAGAUUAGUACUCAGCAUUCAACAACAACACAUGCCUCAUUUAGAUUUGUUAAAUUAUUUGUCCUCUGAAUUUCCUCCUAACACUUCUACAAUUCUUCACUCAACUUAUAUGUGCAUUUCAACUUCAGACCUCUAACCUGCAUUUAUCUGUCUUGAUAAGAAUAUAUCAUGCAUAAAAUAGCAGAGAACAAAAAAAGUCUAAUGUCUUUAGUUUCCUCUACUAGCCAUUGUUUAUGUACAAGCAAGUGGAGUUUCCGAGGCUUCCUCCAUGUAACAGAAAUAUAUGGUCAGAUCUCUUCCUUCUCUGAGAUAUGUUAUUCUAUAUUACCUCUAAUAAACACAAAAAUGUAGAAAAAUUAAAUACAAGGAAAAUAGCCAGGAAAACCUGGAAAAGGAAUAUCCUACUACUGUCAACUUCGUAAGGAGUAGCACCUCGCAAGUGCUAAUUGAUUUUAAGAUGGGAAGAGAUUCGAAAGCUGGAUAGCAGAAGAGUAAUUAUUCACCUCAUCAAACAGGCUGUUCUUUCUUUCUUUUGACAUAAAGUAGAAUUAAAGGCAAUCAUAAGAGAAAUCAUCACAAAAACAAAAUCUGAACUAGACUAACAGGGAACACACAGUCAAUAAGCAGCUAUCCCAAUUAAUAAAUCCGCAAGUACUGAUAUAAAAAGAGAAUCAAUAUAACAAAUUUACUGCUAAGUUGCUAAUAAGAUUAAGCACAUAGAAGGUUUUUGGCAGAAUUCCAACACAGGCAUCAUCUAAUGGUAUAAUGAAGGAAUCGAAUAAACGGACAACUAAAAAGUGAAAUAAUUUAUAAUUUGCGAACACUUGAUGACUAUAUUAUUUAUAACAUUAUAUGAAAGGAAACCCAGGCAGUUUCCCGGGCGUUGCCACAAGGCUCCGUCUGGGUUUCCCUUCAAUGAAGAAGAUUAUUGGCUGUACCAGGUGUAUACUUACAUCCGAUGGACUGCACUUUAUAUUUGAUGAUUUGGGCUCUAAAUUCAAUUUUUAAUCUAAUAUAUUUGAUCUCCAAUAUGAUAAUAUCUCAAAGAAGACAUGUCAAAACAAAAAACAUCAUGAAUUUCAAAGGUAUGCUACUUACGUAUCAUGUUGUAUAAAAAAUCAACUGUGGAGGGGUCAUUAUUUGAUUUGUACAGAUAUGAUGUUCAUGUAUUUUAUAUAUAGGCACUUUAAAUAUUGGAAAAAUAUAUCUAAUCGGCUAGGUUUCCAUUUUAUAACCCCCUAUGAUAUUGUUUUAGAAGAAAUAUUGGAAAAAUAUAUCUAAUCGACUAGGUUUCCAUUUUAUAACCCCCUAUGAUAUUGUUUUAGAAGUAUGGUGUUGUUUUAGAAGUACGGUGUACAAUGUCCUUAUUCACCUCGUGCAGACAACAGUUUCUCCAUCAAAUGAGAGAGUAAAAUCUAUGAGACAAUCCCUGUACUAUUCAAAUAUUGUAAAUUAGCCCUUCUACUUUUUACUUAAACAAUUUAGUCUCUAAAGUUUGGCAUGUGUUAUUACUCUAUUCUCUGCAUAUAUAUAUAUAUAUAUAUAUAUAUAGAGAGAGAGAGAGAGAGAGAGAGAGAGAGUCCGGCUAUGGUGCUUGUAAAAGUACCAAGUAUUUAGUGCUUGUAAAUUUUUUACCGUUAGAUCUACGCCUUUGAUCAUUUUCACCCGUUAGAUUAUACUAUUCAACCAACCAUCCACUUAACCCUAGGGGGCCCACAUCAUCUUAACCGCAUAUCCCUUAAUCCAAGGGCUAAAAACUUACAAGCACCAAUGACUUGGUACUUUUAAAAGCAUAGGAGCUCAAUUCUAUAUAUAUAUAUAUAUAUAUAUAUAUAUAUAUAGAUUUUUGCUGUAAAAUAAUUAUUUUUUAUUUUUCAUGAAAUUUAGCACAUUUUCUUGCCAUCCCGUGGUUUGUAAGUUCUACUUUGCUAUCUACAUCAACAAUUUAUCAAUAUUCAGCCAACUAAAUUAGAUUGUGCGACUUGAUUGCAACAAUUGAAGAAGGUCAAGUCAGAAAUUGCAACAAAUUGAAAUAUAAAGACCAAAGUGUCACCCGCCUCAUAGUUUGACGGCCAAAAGUGUAAUUUACUUUUUUUCAAUAAUGAACUAGAACAUAUAUUAAAAAUUGAGCCAAACUUCAGAAGGAUUUAUUAUACAUUUUUUCUUUGCAAAAGCCUAUUUUUACUUAUUGCAUUCUUGCAAAUAAUAUAAAAAAUUGUACAUCAAACUCCUACAGCAUUUCGUAGAAACGUAUGGAGACCCCCUCAUCUAUAGUACAUUCUAAAAUGGCCUCUUGAAGUUCUUUUUUUUCACAACCCUUAAUUCCCUACUUUUUAACUUAUUUUGUUGAACAAUAUUGAGAAUUUGAUUAUAUCAUUGAUUUGAUGAACUUUAAAUAUUUUAGUAGGUGGCUACAAAAUUAAAUUAAAAUAAUUAGUAACUAAUAAUUAAUAAAGCUAUUAAAUUGAAUAAACCUCAAUAAAGCCCUAUGAUUUUGCACACUUUUGCUUUGCCAUUCUGUGAUUUUGUGCACUUUUGUUAUUUCGUAGUUUGUAAAAUAAAUCAAUUUACUAUAACAUUUGUUUAUCCAACUCAAUGCUGUAUUCUUAUAAUGAUUAAAAAAAUAAAAUCGCAGCACAGUAAAAUAAAACUUUUUAAACCAUCGGGUCAUAAAAUAAAAAUGUACUAAACCACAUAGAAACAAAUUGCAAAUUUUUCUAGUAUAGUUUUUUAAAAAAAUAUUUGUCUGAAACUUUUGAAACCAUCAAUAAAAAUAUAAAAAUAAAUCAAGGUGAGGAGGCAUUCCAAAAUAUCCUAGAGUUGGACGGUGUCCAUUCCUUCCAACUAUGAGCAGGCGAGUGGGGCUCACCUUUCAGUUGGUGAGAAUGGGGGGCGUAGGAGAAUAGGGCCCAGGUGGAGCCCAGCUUACAAUUAAUGAAUCUUUUACUCUACAGUUGUCGUCAUUGUCUUUUCAAUCGCAUCAGCGUCAACUUUGCCACUUACCUCAUUAAUAAAGUCAUAACUCGAGAUCAUCACCAGCAUUGAUGGUUGGUGUGACUCCUAUGCGAGAUCGAUACAUGUUGCCUUCUCCAUUGCAUCCGCGUUUCUUUCGCUCUGUACCUUAUUAAUGAGUGUCUCUCUCGGCUCUAUCGCGGCGUGGAUGACUGUCGUGGACUUUAGGGGAUAGGGCACCUCCCUUACCUCAAUAAUGUUGACUUCGUAUGAUCCUGCCACCGCCGAUAGAUAACCCGUAGAUAGAGGCCAGAUCAGCCGUACACAACCAUCUCUCCAACCUCAUUUUCCUCAUUUUCCCUACACCCCCACCCCCUUUGUUCGUGGUUACUAUAUAGAUAGACCCUCUACCUUCCGUGGUGCACUAGUGCUUUCUCCGUUGCCACUUUCUAUUAUUGUUUCAGCGCCGAUUGGCUGUGGGUCCUUUGUGAUCUCACCGCCGGCUGAUGUUGCUUUACUCCGGGUAGGUAUGGGUCCAUUGUUGUUUCCUGCCGGUCGACACCACUUUGCUGCGUCUGCAGGUUGUCCUGCACCUUUGCUUAUCUCUGUUUACUCUAUUUCUUUUAAUUUUUUCCUUUAAAUAUAUUGAUUUAUGCAAUUUACUUCAGCUCUGUUAUUAUUGAGUAGAGACAUUUAUAUUUGGCACCAGAUCAUCCCACUGCUAGUUACUUUCCUGUGGUAAAGCUGUAAGUUCUUCUGCUACUAUUACCGCCCUUGUUUGUUUCCUUCUUUUUCUGUGCGUAUAUACGUAUAAACCCUAUUCUGUUUGGUCUUUUCUACACUUUUGUUAGCCUUCUCUUAUAAAUUUGCAUUCUUCCUCCCACUUCCGUGGAAAGAGAAAAGGAAGGCCAGCUUAGUCUCCAAGCACAAACAUUAUAAAAUCAAUCUAUCUUAUACCUCUUAUAUCAAUUCUUCCCCAAAUUUAUUCUUCAAUAAUUAUUAAUUGUAGUCCGAAUUUUUUAUAUGCAGCCAACAUCUCCAGACUUCAUUGCCCAGCACGUACUUCGGAUAUCUUCAACAAUGUACUUUCAUUCCUUCAUGUCAGGUAUUCUUUUAUAUUAUAAAGUGGGACUUUUUAUUUUGUUUUAAGUAAUUUAGUUUUAUUAAAUUGAUGAUUUAUAAACAUUAUGUCUCUUGGAGCUAUUAAACGUUAAAUAUGUCAACUUCACCUUAAUAAUAUUUAGGAUUAAUGAUUAUGAUUUAAUCUUUUAGUGAUAAUACAUAUCUUGGGCCAUUUCAGUUUCAUUCUAAAUAACAGGUUGCUUCGGUUGUAUGCUUUACUAUAUUCUUUAAGUACGUAUUAGAAAUUCACUUCAAGAAGUUAAAAGAAAUGAUCAUUGACUUGAUUAUGGGUCGCGCAGGCAUGCAAUACUUGAAGACAUCAUACAAAAAAAAAUAUUUGAGCAAAUUACUGACCAGUUGAACCGUACCUACACCCCGAUAUUCUUUAGUUGAACAUAGCGAUGGAUCAACCAAAGCCUAUGUAGAAAUUGAGAUGCCUAUCGAUGAAGGGUUGACUAAGAUUGCUAAGCUAUGGGGUGAUGUUAAUAAUGUUAGUUUGCAGUCAAAAGGGCAAGCUGCCAAUUUGGCAAUGAAAUAUUUAAAGAUUGCCUAUACCUUUUUAAGUGAUUGAUGCCAGCUUUGAUGAUGCCAUGUAUUUCAAAUAUAUGUAGGAACGAAUUUCUGUAACAUAUGAUGCUCUACUUUGCGACUAUAGGCAGAUUAAGCAGCACAAUGACGUUGUGUUAGGCAUCUGAAAUAUUGUAAAGUAUCUGUUCGUAGAAUGUCACUCACUGUUUUGGGAGAUAUAGUAGAGCAAUAUUUUGGGUUUUGUCAUAUGUUGUCUUAUUAAUUAGCAGCUGUACAAAAUCUUCUGGCUAGAGAAAGUUCUCUGAUAAUUAUGUAAUGUAUAUUUUGUGUAAUAUGAAGUGCUCUUUUUAUAAUCCUGCUUAUUCUGCUUCUAAAUAAUUGUACAAGAAAUAACGUCGUAUUGGGCGAACAUUGGUUCAGCUCAUCCAAUCUGUUCACAGAUAUAAAUAUACUGAUCACAAACUUAGAUAGGCAAUAACCGGUUAAACUCAUAUUCUUUUUCUACCAGGGACUAUGUUAUCCCGCUGCGAAGCGCGGGAAGUGCACUAGUAUAUCAAAUAAUAGAUAGCGCAAAACCAUUGAACUUCACAUGCAUUUUGUGAGAGAAUCAUAAUCAUGAAAAAUACUUAAUAUGCGAAAAAGUAAAUGGCCUAAUCAAUACUAUUCAGAAGAUUAUAUCUCAAUGAACAAAAGAUAAUACUCAGAUGACAUACUUACAUCUUGUCGCUAAUUUCCUCUAGUAAGUUCAUGAGCUUCUUAGCUAGUUUCUGUCUCCUAUAUUCUGGAGCAACAGUAACUGCAGUUACAUGGCCAUGCCAAGAUUCACCUUGCCCUUCAACUUUACCCAUAACUGAAAAUGAAGAUGUUUGCCCAUUAUCAUAUGUCGACAAUGGAGUGAGGGAACAAGAGUAACAGCUUAGAGCUUAUAAACAUGAAGAAAUGUCACCGUCCUUUAAUCAAUGCAUGUCAAAAUAGUUUCAAUUUUGGACUAGAAAAUAAAAAGGAUCAUGCGGGUCUGAAACAUGUUUAUUCUAUGGUGCUAAGAUUAAGGACAGUAUGUUGUUAUAUUCUAAAGCUGGUAAAAAUGCCCACAAAGCGAGUUAGGCACCAAAUACAAAGAGAGAAAGAGAGAGACAUAGGGGUAAAAAAGAAGGCAUGGUCAAGCACGUGAGUAAUCAAGUUAAAUGCUAGACUCCUGCACAUCCUAACUUAUGGUUGAUCAUAUAUUACAUGGCAACUAACAAAUCCCUAUCCAUAUACAUUUCAGCUAAGACAAAAUAUAAUCUCACAAUUGAAGAGAAUAAAAAAAAAUAACAUCCAAACUUAAUGUAAGGAGGUUAUAAUUUACAAGUAAUCAACCAGCAAUAAGAAAAGUUUUUUUUUUCUUUAAGAAUGAACUUCUAGUUGGUAUUUUGGUUCAUACAUAUGUAGAAUUCUGUAUGGAGAUAUUUAUAUGAGGAAUUCCUAGAUGUUCUUACUUAGAGAUAUCAUGUCAUUGCAUAGAUAUUUAUAAUUUUUAAAGUUUCAGUUGAUAUAGGUAUUGCUUUUUAACUGACUGGUAUCUCAAUUUUUCAUUAAUCCACCAAGCUUGCAUAUUAUCGCCUUAUGAUAAGUGCAUGAAUGUAUCGUAGCUCGGGCACUAAGAAAGCAUGACUAUUACACUAAAGCAUAAUUAAGUUGUCAAGCCGGCAAAAACCCAUGCUUAAGAAGAGUCCUUGGCUGGUUGCAGUUCAUUCAUAUAAAGUGUUGCCCUACCCAUUUAUUUUUUUUAUUUACUCUUUUCACACACACCCCUUUGGAUCGAUCUCUCUUAACCUGCUCAGAAAACAGCUGCAAUGACAAAUGACGACGACUGUUAGCCGGUUUCUCUAAAAGUGAUGGAGGCCAAAAGCACUCCAGAAUAACCUCACCUAUAUAUGAUGCUUUCAAUGUAUUCGGAUUUAUUAGAAGAGAUAGUUGAUGCAUUUGGAUACAAAGGGAAUAUGUUAUGCUAGACUCCAAAAGAUUAACAAAUGAAUCACUCCAUCUUGGAGUUCACUGCUAUAAGCAAUCUCGAGAGAUCUCAUACUCUCCCAUCCUGCCUAUAACACCAACUUUUUAAGAACCAUGUCAAAUUCGUAAGAGACAGUGGGGUUUUAAAAUGAAUCUCUUCAGCAUUGGUAUGAACAAUAGAUUGGAUUUGUAGAGUAGAAACCUGGUCAAGCUCAACAUGGAAAAGAAAAGGUUGACGAAGUGCAAUAAUAAAAAGACGCCUUCUUCUCGAACACCACACCCAAAGAUAUGUUGGUAUGCUAAGGAUGAUCAUCUCUUAACAAACGUCUCCUCAUUUUUAGAGGAAAAGACAUCUCCUAACCCAUUCACAUCUAUGGAAGCACAGACUGGUAGACAGAAGAUAACUUUUUAUCAAUUGGAUAAUUUUUGACACAGAAAUGACAAGGGUUUUCGGAUGCUCGUAAGCACAUAAGGAUAAAUUCCAAAACAACUCUAAUUUUGAGGACAAACUACACGUAAAGCUAUUGCUAUCAUUGCUACCAUGGAAGUCCAAUUAAUGAUUAAUAUUGAAAGGAGUAAUUGUCCUAUAUAAGUCGAUUCACCAUCCAAUCAAGAAGUUAGCAUAGUCUAUAGGUAUUUGAACUAUCUAACUUGAGGGGUGAUUGAUCACAAAGUAAAGGGACUGCAAAGAUUUUGAAAGUUUACUAUAUUGUAGUAGUUUUCAAAUGUGAAAAUGAUAUUUCAACUAUUAAAUGACUAAAAAGGUAAAAAGGAUAUUCUAUUGCAGUCCCUAAAAUAAGAUGCAUCGAAGAAUUAGAAUGUAUAAAUCUCCAAUAAAGUUCAAACACACGGUUCACUUUUACCAUUCCAUGCCCCUAGAGAUACAGAUCCAUAAUGGGUAGCCAUUCUACUUUAAUUUCCUCUAUUUUUCGGUUAUCCUGUAUUUUCAAAAUAAUGGGGAGUCAUUCUACAAUCAGGUCCUGCAUUUUUUUCAAGUUUAUGCCACAUGAAAAAAAAAGUUCACAAUUAGAUAACUCGCAUAAGUUAACCAAAGGAUUAUGGAUUAUUUGAUUGUUAAAGAGUAGGCGAGUGGGCAUAAACAAGAUUAAUAGCAUAAAAAAGAACAAAUGCAACUCAAGCAAAUGCAGUAAAAUAAUUUCUUUGUAAAAACAUAUUCUUUUGAAUAUUUGGUAUUUGCUUAAAAGAACAAAUUUAAGAUAGAAACUCAUCCACUGCUUGAUGAAAUAAAUUAUUGGAUAAGUCCAUUUUGGUUAUUAUUUGAAUAGUAGAUAUCAAUUAAUAUUUGCUGCAAGAAAUUUUUAUACUCCAUGAAUGAGAUUUAAGCGUGCAAGUCCUCCCCCUCCCUCCCUCUCUCUCACGCACGCAGCUACUUUUAGAAUAAGCAAUCCACCACAAUAACACCUGUUGACCUAUACAUUGCCAUACAACAGUCCAUCAGCACCUUUCAAAAUCCAACCGGCAUUGACUCUGAGAGCCCCAGACAAAUUACAACCAUUUAAUUACUGUAAAGAAGCUGUUCUUUGACUAGGAUAGUAAAUUUAAGCCAAUUACUGAUAAUAACCUUAAACAAUCACUUCCCAUUGACUAAGGGAACAAAAGGAACACCUAUAACAGUCAUUGGCAUCCUUGAUAUCUCAGUCCAACCCACAAAAAAUAAAGAAUUUGUCAUCACCGUACACCUUUCACAGGACCAUCCAUGUCUCAAAGACAAUGUCUCUAUUAAGGUAUUCUUCAAACCAAAUUGGCAGAGAGAAAAUCAACAAGCUUCGAUUCCUAACCACCAUAGAGUUCCAAAAAAAACCUUAAAUGUCAAGUACGAGGAUAAUUUAAGAGCCCAGACGAAUCUAGGUCAUGGUAACAUAAAUAGCUGAAAUUUUAUUAGUAGCAGAAUCAUCAUAACCAUAGCUAUCCUCUACAGCUCUACUCUAUUAUUAGCAUGUGCCAUAGAAUCAAACCUUCGUAAAGAACCCUAAGGGCUUGUUUGGCUCACGUAUUUUAGAUUCUAAAAUCGGAAUGGAAUUCACUAAUUUCCGAUAAUUGUUGUUUAUUUUGUAGGAAUAAGAUUCCCAUUCCCGUUCCACUUUGGAAUGGAAAUGACCCAAUCCAUUUAUGCCCCACUCCAGCUUUGAAACCUGGAUUGGCCCAUUCUAGAGUAACACCUCUCCCCCCUUCUUCUUUAACCAAAACUCUCUCUCAAAAUCCUAGAUACCAUGAACCAAACGUUUUUGGAUGAUUCGUCAUUCCACUUUUCCAUUCCAAUGCAAUUCAAUUCCAUUUCCCAUUCCAAUCACGAACCAGACAUGCCCUAACUAUUCCCUCUAUAACUUUGCGAUUUAGGAACCUCCCGGCCCCAAUUGCCACCUACCACUCUCCGAAACAUGAACCCAAAGCAAGACCCAUGCCAUACACCAUCCAACCAUCUCCUAAAAAAGCACCAAUUUUUCUCUCAAGCCCAGCAUCAAACACCUUAAGUGCAAGCGCAAGCACACUACCAAACAAAUUGUUUCCCAAUCAAAUGCGUCGGAGCACAACACAAAUCACNAAAAAAAAAAAAAAAAAAAAAAAGUGUGAGGAUUAGAGAUGCUCACUGUAACCCAUGAUCCGGUUUCCGGGGCUCUCCGCGACGUGGAAGUAGUCGGGCCACCGCGCGAGGUACGUCAUGUAAAACGACAUGUUAAACUGUUUUUCAUAACUUGUUAACAUCACCAAUCUUAGAGAAAUUGGAAUAGAGACAAAGCGUCAUAUACAUACAUAUACAUAUAUAUAUAUAUAGAGAGAGAGAGAGAGAGAGAGAGAGGGAGAGAAGGGGGGGAGGCAUACGGUUUCGGUGAGGUGGUCGAGAUUGACGGAGGCGAAGCGGAGGAGGUCGUCGCAGCAGAAGCGGCGGAUGGUCGUCAUUGCUGUCGGUCGGAGCGGAAGCUGCUGCUGCCUGCUGUCUGCCGUCUGCUGUCUGCCGUCUGCCGACUGCUUCUCGGCGCUGCUUUUGCCGCCUUCGCCCUCUCUGCAGACUGCAGUUGCUGUUCGGAGUUUCGAGAGAUUCGCGUCAAGAUUCGGCGUCUUAUAUGCUGGUCUCGCGUUUACGCCCAAAUUUUAUAAGGGUCGGUUGGUUUAGAUUCUGAAAGAUAUACUUUCAAGAUCAAAAGCUAUUUUUCAUUGAAUAGAGUGUUUAGUAAUUUUCAUUCUGAUUUUUAGAAUUAGUUUCUGAUGUUGAAAGACAUAUUUUUAAGAUCAAAAGUGAUUUAUCAUAGAACACCUUUUUUUUUUUCACGCUGGAAUAAGAAUCAGAAUGGAUGAAUUCGUUUGUUAGUGUUUGGUAUACGUGAUUUCCAUCCGAUUUCGAUUUUCGCGUGUGAAUGAGAAUCCCCAAAUUACUCCUUUUUCCAAUCCUGCCCCCCAGACCGUAUUGAAAAUUGAAUUCGGGCGGAAUGGAUUUAUUCGCAUUAAUCUUAACAUAUUUAAACUUAUUUCUCAAUUAAAACAUAAGUUUAAAAUUUAUGUUUAUAAAUUUAAAUUUUAAUUUGAACUUAAAUUAAAAAUUAAAAUUCAAUCAAAUAUUUCGAAUUUAAUUUAUAAAUUUGAAUUUAAAUUUAACUUUAAUUUAAAAUUGAACGUUUUAUUCAAAUUUUAUUUAAAAUUUAAAUUAAAUUUAUAGAUUCAAAUUGAAAUUUAAAUUAUAAUUUUAAGUUUGAAUUUGGAUAAAUUGAAUUUUAAUUUUAUAUUUUGAAUUAUUCAUUCAAUUUUAAAUUUUAAUUUUUUAAAAAAUAUGUUCAAAAUUUUGACAUCAUUUUAAUUUUAACGUAAAUUUUUAAUAUUUAAUUUUCAGUUUGAAUUUAAGCUAAUAUAUUAGAAAGAUAAAAUCGGCAUAUUAAUUUGAUUACGUUUCUGAUAUCUAUCUGAACCAAAUACCGACAAUUAGAAUGAUUUAUUUCGAUUUCCGAUUCAUAUGGUUAACCAAACAGAAUGAGAUAAGGAAUCACUUCGAUUCCGUUUACAACUUAUUCUCAUUCCGAUUUCGAUUCGAACCAAACACACCCUCUUUAGUAAUUUUGAUUCUGGUUUUUAGAAUUAGUUUCUGAUUUUAAAAGGUUAAAAUUAAAAAUAAUUAAAAUAUGCUUCUCGAAAUUUAAUUCUGAUUUUAAACUCAAAUAUUAAAUUUAAAUAUAAAUUUUAGAUUUAAAUAUUAAAUUUCAUAUUUUAAAUUUCUAAAUUUUUAAAAUUUUAAGUUUGAAUUUUAAAAUUUUAAAUUAAAAGAAAAAGGAAACUGUGAAAUUAUAUGCAACAAUCAUUACAGGGCUUCAAAGUUUUUUUUUUUUUUUGAGGAAAACUGUCCGAGUGCGAAAAUUUAUUUAAACAAAACAACCGUUAUGGAACUUCCUAGUUGAUAUUUGAAAUUUCAAACUUGAAACUUAGUUAUUUUAUAUUUCUUGCUGAGAUCAUUCCUAAAAUUAAACAAAUCAAAUAGUAUAGUAUGCGGCUACCUUUUGUUAAAAAAAAAAGAAAAGAAAAAUAAAGCGUUAAAUGUUGUUCGAAACUGGCAUUUUAUUAUUUAAUAUUUGCUCUCCCUCAUGUGUGGAUUACUAUAAGCGGGCACAAGAUAUUUUUUGAUAGGCUCAAGAUAUAGACUUAAAUUAAGUAGUAUGUAAUUAGAACUUUCUGAUCCAAUACCAUGCAAAUUAAAUGAAAAAACUGAGAGCAACAUUUUAUUGUCAUAUAUUCAAUAAAAACUUACCUAGAUUAUACCCUAUUUUGAUCCAACUAUUUGAUAUUUAAAAGUUUUGAUUUUACCAUCCAGUCUUGUAUUUUAAGUUUAAGUCAUUAAAUGACUCUUACACUUUAUAAUUUAAAUAUGUCCUUUAUUUUUAUAAAUAGUUUGUAUGAGUAAAAUUCCAUUUAAAUAAGUAUCUGUCUUAGAUUUUCCACUAGAAGAGCCAUUAAAUGGCUCAAAAUCAAAUAAAUUAAAAAAUUAUGUAUGGUAAUUGGGAGCCAUACGAUUCCUAGUCCCAAUGCUAGCGAGAUUUUAUCAUCAGUUGGAUAUAAAUUUGCAUACAAAAAUUGUACGGCCAUCAUUCCCAAACUACUAGUUUACAGACGGUGUGGAUUGACGCUGCAUGACGAGCACGUGCCCAUUUGACCUCCAUGUUUCUUCCUUUGCUUCUUUAUCUCUCUCUCUCUCUCUCUAAAAAUUAGGAUGCAUAAUUUUUUUCACUGCUCGUGCGAUGAGCGUGUGCUCGCCACGCGGCGCCCAUCCGCAUCAUCCCCGGACUAGUAGUCCGGGGACGAUGCCUAUACAAUUUUUGCCCUAGAUUUGCCAAGCAAGUUUGCAAGGCCAUGAAAGAAUUUUGGCUCCGAAUUUGUUGACCUGAUCCAUUCCAAUAAGCCGAAGAAUAUUCCAAUUCUUGUCAUUAUAAAAAAUUAUAAAAGAAAAUAUAAGCGCUUUCGAAAUUUUUUGGCCUUUCAUAGUAUAAAGCCAGUAUUUUUAGCCGUCGCAAUACCAAACUACAUCUUACUUCCAGUAGAAUCAGAAGCACAAAACUAGAGCUUAUAAUUUUGAAGCUUUAAAACUCAUUCCAACUUCCUAUCAUGGUAAACAUCUUGAUCAAGGUCUCAAAGAUGACUGCAGCUACAAGCAAAAUCAGACGCGCAGCCGAAUUGGAAUUUCAGAUACUGAAUAUCACACGACAACCACACCGAAAAUCUACCAAUUUACGAAUUAAAAUCCGUCCAAAUUAUGAAUUCGGAUUACCAUGCACCCAAACAAGAAAAGUAUCUUAAGGAAAAAUGAACUCGAAUUUGAUCCAAACAACUAACAUGUGUGUUGCAAAAUAGGGUUUGAAAGGUUUCCGUGACAGAACAAGCUCAGUUUACUUAAAUCUGAGUCAAACAAAAACUAAGAAGUUAAGCGAUCGCCGCAACACUGCUGCAGCAGCUACACCGAACCCGGCACAUGCAGUUUUAAUAAUUUUAAGUCGAUUAACAUUUCUGUAUUAUUAGAAGGUCCAUAAGAAACUCACAGAAUCACCAAUUACAUCGACAGGACGAUAAUCAGCAUCACACCAGGCUACCUUAUAGAGGACUGUUAUGGCACUAAGGAUGGACCAAAUACACAAUGUUCAAGGCAUCACUUUCGGAUAAAUGAAAUAAGCAAUUCAUAUGCUGCCUCGACAACUACAGUUGUAACUCAAAUGCUUACAUUCUUAAGCAAUGCAAAUAGAUGGGAGAGGUUAAAACUUACCAACCUUACCUGAACUACAGUGCAUUUUGCAAUAGGCAUCUAAACUCUAAUAAGAGGACUUUAAAGAGUUUUGAUCUAACCUAACCUAACUAUACAGUAUUCUCAAAAUAGGUACUUGAAAAUUUCCUGAUUCUACGACCCAAUGUUACAUUAUUUGCAAGACCUUUUAUAGAAUAUUCCAUUAUCUAGAACGAAAAGUAUAAUAUUUUACGGAAUAUUCCACACAAAGUGCUAAAAUAUCUUGUUAGGUCGGGCAGUAAAAUCAGACCGUUUAAAGUUCACUUCUCUAUUUCAGAAUACUGUAAUGUUAGGUACUAAAAUCAAGACUUUCGACAUUUAGGUUUACUUUCCAGAAAGCGGGGGCUGAGAAAAUGUUUGGAUACCUAUGUCUUAAAUGCGUCAUAGAUCACGUGAGGUUUGCAAGUUUUUAAUGCUGAAAAAUAUGGGAAUCUAUGCUGCUGCAAUGCAUUGCAGCCUUUCUUCAGAGCCAGAACCCCUCGCCUUCUGCUCUGCAAGAAGCGAUUGCAGAUCACUCCCGUUCGCCAAGCUAUUGAACUCCACCGACCUGGACGGAUCCGUUGGGUACCGCCGUUGGCAGAAGGUCAUUAGCCUCUUCACGGAUUGCAAGUACUUGCGCGUGAUCUCAUCAUUCAUGAUGUGAGACACACUGUUGGUGUAUAUCUUCUCACGGGCCGAGCGCUCGUGGAUACCGACCAUCGUCACACCGAUCGGCCAUGGUGCAUUUCCGAUAGCCAGCUUGAUGUACUGGUCCAUGGCACCCAGGUAAUCCCGUCUCGUGCAGCAUUCCACAACUACUAGUAGCGCUUUUCGGAUGUCAUCUGGGAGAGCCUGCAUGACGUAUGACCAUUGAGUUCAAAUGGUUGAAAAGUUGAAUCAGCAAACGUAAUAAGAGAAAUUCACCGUGCUGUUAAUUUAGCUUUUCUAAAGAAUGAUUUACUCUAGGGCUAUGACUUGUAAAUUUGUAAGAUAAAUUUCGAUAUAUGUAAGAAACACACCUAUUGUUUUACAAGUUGCUAUGUCAGUGACGUCACUCCCUUUCGAUUUACGACAGUUUGAAACCGAACCAUGAGCUUAACACCAUACGUACUCAUGGUUCCGGGAGGGUGAAGAUAGAUGGCCAAAAACAUCAGAAGUUGCGACCCCAAGGUGCUCAAACCUAUCUGUUGGAUACAGAGUACGUAGUCAUUCUAGCUAAUAGAGGGUGCGACGUUUUUCUUCUUUUUGCAACAACUAAAUUACCAACAAGCUAUUGUUAACUCCAAAGUUCAAGUUAUAUCAGUGUGUAAACAACCAGGAAUCAACAAAAGUCAAAUUAUACGUUUAAAUUGAAGAUAAAUGAACGAGUACCAGAGAGAGUAGAGGAGUGCGUUAGACAUUUCACGAGUCCAUAUAAAAAUAGCACUGUUGUAUUUCUGCCCAUCAACUUGGUAUCUGUGAAUUCAUAACAUCGCCCACCUAUACAUGGGCAAAAGAGAGUCAUCAAAGGAAAACCUCAUUCCGUCCCCGCAAAUAGUAUGCGGAGGACAUGCAUAAUCCAUAGAGUUACGACUUCAAUCCAUUUUAAAUAAAAAAGACUACGCAACAGGUAUAAUCUCAGAUCUGUUGCCUUCGGCGACAAAUUACAAUGUUUGACGACAUUAAAGUUAAGAACUCUGUAUUAGUUGCUAGUUUUCUUACUCCAUGACUAAAUUUUCUUUCUCAUAAGAAUAUACCACUUUUUCCAUAGUGAUCCGGUUAUGAACAUAAUAUGAAGUGAUAACGAUGUUUCACACAUUCUUCUUUAAUUUCGAAUAAUGAGAACACAGCAUGUUACGUAAAUCAAAAGGAUGGAGUAAAUUGUAGAUGAAUUAUAGCCAAAAUUGAAGAAACAAUUAAUAGAACACAAAAUGUUACCUUUUUCCUGCACAUCUUGAACAGCGGAUUCAUGUAUCGCGCGCACUGCUUAUAGGUCGCGACGACCGACUUCCCCUUUGCCGUCCUCUUCUCCGCCUCCGGCAUCUCCUCCACCUCGCGAUUCCACUCAUCGAGAAGCCUCUUGAAGAACACAAGAAUCUUAUCCUCACCGUAAAGCUCCUUCCAACCCACCUGCAUCUUCUUCGCAUCAUCUUUAUCCGCAUCCGCUGCCGCCGCCGCGGCUCCGUCCCCACCCUCCUCCUUAUCCCCGUCGCCAUUGCCGCCGCCGAAGCGCUUCUGCUUCCUGCGGAGGUCGUAGAUGUCGCGGAGGAAGUCGUUGACCUGCCCCUCCAUCAUCUCGGCGUCGUCGUCGAUCUCGACGGGGCCGGACUCGACCGCCGAGCGGAGGCGGCGGAGGCGCGCGGCGUCGUCCUCGCCGAAGAGGGUGAUCGGCUGCCUGAGCACGCGGAGCCGCCGGAUCACCUCGUGCCGCGGCAGAUCCCCAGUUUCGGGAUCGGGGGAUCGGGAUCCGGGGCUAGGGUUAGGGUUUGAAGCGGGGGAGGAGGGGCGGAGGGGAGGGGAUUUGCAUCGGAUUCGGCGGAGCUCCUCCUCUCGAAGCUUCUGGAUCUCCCUUCGCUCGAUCUCGGCGCGCUUCAGGAGUUUUCGGCCGCCGAGUUCCACUUCCAGGAUCUGGCGCUUCCGCCGAAGCUCGCGGUUCAGCAGAUCCAUCAGGAACCGGGAGGUGGUAACUGCUAACCGCUAAGGGAGGUGAGAAUCGUCUUAUUAUUUAUUUUCAUCAAUUAUGAAUUUUCACCCGCGUUUUCAAAUUUAGAGGGAAAUCGCCUGGUAUUCAAAAUUUUAUUCAAACUCGAAUUUGGAUGAAGCAGAUUUAUAUAAUACUAAAUAAAUAUAAUUUUGAAUAUCAAAACUAAAAAUUUGACCUACAUGAAUUCGAAUAUGAAUUUUAACUCUACCCGACCCUAACCCAAAUUUAUUUUUUAUAUUAUAUAUAAUAUAUAUAUUUAUAAAAAUUUGAUAUUAUAUUUAAAUUUAAAUUUAAUAUAAUAUAUUUUAAAAUAUUAAAAUGAAAAAUAAUUGUUUCGGGGUUCGAAUAUGAGUUUCAAAAUUUUGGCCGAAUUCGACUUUGGAUAUGAAUUUUUAAAAGUCGUUGGAUUCGAAUCCGAGUUCAAAUUAAAAGGUAUAAUGCCAUGUAUAGCCUUAUUAGAAAAAAAAUUUCCAAUGUAGCCUCCUUUUAAAAAAAAUUCCUAACCUAGCCUUCUUUCGAUAAUUAGAAAAAUAGUAUUUAUAUGCUAACUUGGAGAGAGAAAUUUUUUUCUCUCUCUCCUCCCACCNCGCCGGAUCACCUCGUGCCGUGGCAGAUCCCCAGUUUCGGGAUCGGGGGAUCGGGAUCCGGGGCUAGGGUUAGGGUUUGAAGCGGGGGAGGAGGGGCGGAGGGGAGGGGAUUUGCAUCGGAUUCGGCGGAGCUCCUCCUCUCGAAGCUUCUGGAUCUCCCUUCGCUCGAUCUCGGCGCGCUUCAGGAGUUUUCGGCCGCCGAAGUCCACUUCCAGGAUCUGGCGCUUCCGCCGAAGCUCGCGCUUCAGCAGAUCCAUCAGGAACCGGGACGUCGUAACUGCUAACCGCUACGGGAGGUGAGAAUCGUCUUAUUAUUUAUUUUCAUCAAUUAUGAAUUUUCACCCGCGUUUUCAAAUUUAGAGGGAAAUCGCCUGGUAUUCAAAAUUUUAUACGAAACAGAUUUAUAUAAUACUAAAUAAAUAUAAUUUUGAAUAUGAAUGCCAAAAAUAAAAAUUUGAUCCAUAUGAAUUCGAAUAUGAAUUUUAACUGUAGCCAAUCCUAAUCUGAAUUUAUUUUUUACAUUAUAUAUAAUAUGUAUAUAAAAAUUUGAUAUUAUAUUUAAAUUUAAAUUUAAAUAUAAUAUCAAAUUUUUAUAUACAUAUUAUAUAUAAUAUGUAUAUAAAAAUUUGAUAUUAUAUUUAAAUUUAAAUUUAAUAUAAUAUAUUUUAAAAUAUUAAAAAAAUAAUUGUUUCGGAGGAGUUCGUAUUCGAGUUUUGAAAUUUUGGUCGAAUUCGACUUUUGAUAUAAAUUUUUAAAAGUCGUUGGAUUCGAAUCCGGGGUCAAAUUUUUAAAAAUUUGCCCCGAAUUUGAUCCCCUGACAUCUCUAGAAUCUUCGCCUCUCGAAGCUUCCUUCGAUUUGAACGGAAGAGAAGUUAAAGAAACAGACGACCUUUCUGGAACGCGCGAAUUUCAUUUUUCUUUAAAUUUACGAUUAUACCCCUUGCAGUAGGAUGUCAACACGUAGGUUUAUUGCAACCUGGCUGUGAAUGUGACCCAAAAUGUUAAAUUUUAAUUCUAUUUUAUCUAAUAUAUAAAAAUUUAAAUUCAAAUUCGAACAAAUCAAAUUUUAAAAAUCAACAACUAAAUUCAUAUCCAAUGAAAAAAUUGGAAUCCGAAAAUCCAAACGCAAAAGCAAUCAUUUCUCGUUACCAAAUUUUAAAACAUAUUAUACUCAAAUUAUAUUUAAAAUUUAAAUUUAAAUUUUUACAUAUUAUAUAAAAUAGAGUAAGUUCGGGUUUAGUUCGAAUUCGAGUUCAGAUCAUAUAUAGAUAAAAAUCAUAUCCGUUUCGCGAAUUUGGUGCCAAAUUAAAGAAGUUUAUGCCUACGAGUUUUUCGAACGGAUAAGUUCAACUUUUUUUAUUUCGACAUUUACCGUCCUAAGUUUUUGUUAAUUUAAUUUCUAAACUUUUAAUAGUGUUUUGUCUUGAGUGAUUAAUUUUGUAUUAAAUCUAAUAAACUUUAUCAAAUAAUUUAAUUGGUUGAUGCCGUCAAUUGAAUUUACUAGCUAUACACUAAAUUUUAGUGGCAUGUCUAGCAUACAAUAUUAUAAAAUUUUAAAAUGCGAAAAAAGUUCAUCCUACAUAAUCUCUCUAAAAAACAAAACAUUAAAAAAAAAAUCAUUCCCCACGUGUAAACAAACAAUAGGAAACAAGAACAAUAAGUCCUAUUGUUUAAUCCUAGUGCUUAGUUAUCUAUAUCUAUAUCUAUAUAUAUAUACAAUCGAGAGUUCGUACGGCGUUCUCCCCGCGUUUUGCGGGGGGCCUCGCGAGAGAGAGAGAGAGGGAGAGAGAGAGAACAGAGGGAGGAGAGAGAGAGAGCAUACAGAGAGAGGGGGAGAGAGAGAGAACAGAGAGAGAGAGAGAGAGAGCAGAGUAGAGAGAGAGCGAGGCGUGGGGGGGGCUGCGCGCGGGCGAACCGCGCCCGCCGGGCGCGCGCGCGCGUGCGAGCAAGAGAGAGAGAGAGAGAGAGAGAGAGAGAGAGAGAGCAGACAGAGGGGGGAUGCGGGCCCCUCCCCCUCACCCCCGCGGGUCUCUCUCUCACUCUCUCUCCCCCUCUCUCCACCCCCANNNNNNNNNCGUUAAUACUACAUAUUAUGUAAAAUGACAAUUUUACCCUCCAACAACCCUAAUCUAAUUAACAGCACUAUUUUCAUCUCUCUCUCUCGCCUUCCCCCCUCUCUCUCGCACACCGCUUUCUCUCGCUCUCUCUCUCUCUCGACGUCUCUCUCUCUCUCUCUCGCACGAACACGUAUCAUCUUCUAUUGCGUCGUCCUCCCAGGUAAUCAUCACGAUCUCCUUCCCUCCAUUCGUCAUUUUCGCAAAAAAUAAUAUUCAAAUGACCACAACAAGGGUAAUUUUAGAAAAAACUAUACUUUUAUGUCAGGAUUACUAAAUUUUAUAAACUGAACCAAACGUAUUAAUGCUAUAAAUACUGUAAUCUAGUAUUACAUUACUGCAUUAAACCAAACGCGCUAAAGUAGCAUCAGUAGUAAUCUCACGUCGAAAUCCAAGAUAUCUGGAUAUAUCGAGUUACUUUGUAAUAUUACAUAACUCGAAUCAAACGGACCCUUAAGUCAUUUUUAUUUUCUAAUCCAUCAAAAAGAGACUAGAUUAGGAAUUUUUUUAAGAAGCAUUAGUUCAAAUUAAAAUUUGCCCCGAAUUCGAUCCCGUGACAUCUAUAGAAUCUUCGCCUCUCGAAGCUUCCUUCGAUUUGAACGGAAGAGAAAUUAAAGAAAGAGACGACCUUUCUGGAAGGCGCGAAUUUCGUUCUUCCAUAAAUUUACGAUUAUACCCCUUGCAGUAGGAUGUCAACACGUAGGUUUAUUGCAACCUGGCUAUGAAUGUAACCCAAAAUGUUAAAUUUUAAUUAUAUUUUAUCUAAUAUAUAAAAAUUUAAAUUUAAAUUCAAAUUCGAACAAAAUCAAAUUUUAAAAUCAACAACUAAAUUCAUAUCCAAUGAAAAAAUCAGAAUCCGAAAAUCCAAACGCAAAAGCAAUCAUUUCUCGUUACCAAAUUUUAAAACAUAUUAUACUCAAAUUAUAUUUAAAAUUUAAAUUUAAAUUUUUACAUAUUAUAUAAAAUAGAGUAAAUUCGGGUUUAGUUCAAAUUCGAGUUCAAAUCAUAUAUAGAUAAAAAUCAUAUCCAUUUCGCGAAUUUGGUGCCAAAUUAAAGAAGUUUAUGCCUACGAGUUUUUCGAACGGAUAAGUUCAACUUUUUUUAUUUCGGCAUUUACCGUCCUAAGUUUUUGUUGAAAUUCUAAUUUAAUUUCUAAAAUUUUAAUAGUGUUUUGUCUUGAGUGAUUAAUUUUGUAUUAAAUCUAAUAAACUUUAUCAAAUAAUUUAAUUGGUUGAUGCCGUCAAUUGAAUUUACUAGCUAUACACUAAAUUUUAGUGGCAUGUCUAGCAUACAAUAUUAUAAAAUUUUAAAAUGCGAAAAAAGUUCAUCCUACAUAAUCUCUCUAAAAAACAAAACAUUAAAAAAAAAAAUCAUUCCCCACGUGUAAACAAACAAUAGGAAACAAGAACAAUAAGUCCUAUUGUUUAAUCCUAGUGCUUAGUUAUUAUUACUAUAUUUUUAGACUUCGUUUGGUUCGGAAAUUAGUAGGAACUAGUUAUUUCAGAAAUAAUUACAAGUAUGAAUUUUUAUAAGAAUAAGAAUAUUUUUUUGUUUGAAUAAAAAUAUGAGUAUAAGCUGGAACUAGAAACAUUGUGUUUGGAUGGUUAUUGGAAAUAAAAGAAAUAGUUGAUAGUUGAAAAUUUCAAUAUUCCCAUAUUACCCCUCUCUUUUAAUAUGAAUUAUAACCAAUUAACGCUGGUAAAAAUUUUUUGGUUCAUGUAUUAAUUUUUUGAAAUCUACUAGAUUUUAAUUUUAAAAAUCUUUCAAAUUUUUUCGACUCGACCAACCCACCUCCUCAGAUCGUGCAAGCCACAAGGCGGAAUGGAGAGGGCGAAGAGGUGAAGUGCACCCCGACGGACAAAAAAUGGUGGUUUCCGCAGAUGGAGGAGAAGGCGAAGAGGAAAGAGAUGAGGGGGCGCGGGGGCUUUCCUUUGAUGCCCUCGGUACAAGAUCGGGCGGCUGUGACAAGUGCCCCUCAAAUCUAGGGUUCGGCUCGACCAACAAUAACUCUCAGACCGUGCAAGCCACGAGGUGGAACGAAGAAGGUGAAGAGGUUUAGCGGACCCCGACGGCGAAAAUGGUGGUUUUCGAAGAUGGGGGAGGCGGCGAAAAUGGUGGGUUCUGAAUAUGGGGGAGAAGGCGAAGAGGAAGGAGACAGAGGGAGCGCGUAGAGCUUUUCCUUGGAUGCCCUCGGUACAAGAGCGAGAAUAAGGGGUUGAAACAGCUUGUUCCAACCCCGGGUGGGAACUGUUGUUCCCUCUGUUAGCGGGUUAUCCCAGAGAUAACCCGCUAAGGUGGGAACAACAAUUUCCACCUAGAUGGAAUCUUAUUUGGGUACAAGAUGGGGUUUAAGCCCCUUAUACUCCAUCUUGUACCCAUUCCAAAUAGGAUGUUAAAGGUUAAAGCCCAUUGUCAUUUUAUUAAAAAAGAUAGAGUUUGAUUACAUCAUUAUUCAGUUUUGGGGAAUAAAAUAAAUGCAUUUUUACAAAAAUGAAGGAAAAAAUAUAAGUAUUUUCAAAACUAACUAAAAAGGAAAAGUAAAAUAAUGAUUCUCAAACCUAAGCAAGAAAUGAAAAAUAUAGAAAAAAACUUCAAAUACUACCGUUGUGGUUUUGUACUUUCUCACUUUAGUAUCCUGUGGUUUUAUUUUUUUCUUUUAAUUAUCUAUUUUACUAUUUUUCUUUGUUAAAUUAGUGAGAAAGUUAAAACUAAAGGGUAAUAAAAUGAAUAUUCGAUAAACCUAGCUGGAGUAUCUGAAGUUUUUUGUAUAUAAUUUAACAAAAUAUUAACGGAGAAGCUGAUGAAAAGAUAAAAAUGAAACCACAGGUAAUAACUUGAUACGUUUUAAACCACAGGAUAUUAAAGUUAGAAAGUGCGAAAUCAUAGGGGUGAUAUUUAAAGUUUACUCAAAAAGAUAUAAUGAAUGGUUUGCAAAUCUAAAUAUCAACCGACAAAUAAAUUAAGCUUUUAAAUAUUAAAGCUGAGGACAAAAAAAUAAAGGCCAAUUUGCAUAAAAAAUCCACUUAUUUUGGGCUUUUGCAAAACCGGGCUACCUUUUUCAUUUUUUCAGAUUCGCUCUCUGGGAAGAGAAAGAAAAAAAGAACGAGAGAAAAAAAAGAUGAGAGAGAAAAAGGUAUAAGGGUAUUUUGGUCAGUUUGCUGAAAAAGCGGACCGAAUCUGCAAAAAUGAAAAAGGUGGUCCGAUUUUACAAAAGUCCAAAAUAAGUAGAUUUUUUAUGCAAAUUGGCCAAAAAUAAAAUACAGAGAAGACAAUAGAUAAAAGCAAUCAUCGAGGCUCCGUUCUAAUUCCUACUUCUAUCCCUCGAACUAUAUUAGAACGCUCCUAUUUUCAAAUCUGCCAAGCUUCAGUACGGAAAAUAUUCAUGAACUCUGUAAUAUUUGAUAGAGUUAAAGAAGAGAGAAAUCCUCGAUAGUGAAAGAGCGAAGCAAGAAGGAGAAAAUGAACUAAAUGAUUGUGGAAAAAAACUUGAAGAAAAAUAUAGAAGAC